RNAcentral lists this ribosomal RNA (589 nucleotides) under uncultured bacterium. RNAcentral's name for it is "partial 16S ribosomal RNA". It matches the Rfam family "Bacterial small subunit ribosomal RNA", at positions 355 to 1376 of the family's 1533-position model. The record is from RNAcentral.
UAGGGAAUCUUCCGCAAUGGGCGAAAGCUUGACGGAGCAACGCCGCGUGAGUGAUGAAGGUCUUCGGAUCGUAAAACUCUGUUAUUAGGGAAGAACAAAUGUGUAAGUAACUAUGCACGUCUUGACGGUACCUAAUCAGAAAGCCACGGCUAACUACGUGCCAGCAGCCGCGGUAAUACGUAGGUGGCAAGCGUUAUCCGGAUUUAUUGGGCGUAAAGCGCGCGUAGGCGGUUUUUUAAGUCUGAUGUGAAAGCCCACGGCUCAACCGUGGGGGGUCAUUGGAAACUGGAAAAACUUGAGUGCAGAAGAGGAAAGUGGAAUUCCAUGUGUAGCGGUGAAAUGCGCAGAGAUAUGGAGGAACACCAGUGGCGAAGGCGACUUUCUGGUCUGUAACUGACGCUGAUGUGCGAAAGCGUGGGGAUCAAACAGGAUUAGAUACCCUGGUAGUCCACGCCGUAAACGAUGAGUGCUAAGUGUUAGGGGGUUUCCGCCCCUUAGUGCUGCAGCUAACGCAUUAAGCACUCCGCCUGGGGAGUACGACCGCAAGGUUGAAACUCAAAGGAAUUGACGGGGUCAUAGCUGUUUCCUG